RNAcentral lists this ribosomal RNA (517 nucleotides) under Simulium novemarticulatum. RNAcentral describes it as "partial 16S ribosomal RNA". It matches the Rfam family "Bacterial large subunit ribosomal RNA", at positions 1819 to 2601 of the family's 2925-position model. Lineage: Eukaryota; Metazoa; Arthropoda; Insecta; Diptera; Simuliidae. The record is from RNAcentral.
GUCUUUUUAGUAUAUUAAUAUAAAGUCUGACCUGCCCACUGAAUAAAGUUUGAAGGGCCGCAGUAUUUUGACUGUGCAAAGGUAGCAUAAUCAUUAGUCUUUUAAUUGAAGGCUGGUAUGAAUGGUUGGAUGAGAUACAAGCUGUGUCAUAAAAAUUAAAUUUUGAAUUUAACUUUUUAGUCAAAAGGCUAAAAUAACUUUAAAAGACGAGAAGACCCUAUAGAGCUUUAUAUAAUAAUUAUUUAAAUUAUUAAGAUUUAUUAAAUUUAACUUUUGUGUUAUAUUUUGUUGGGGUGACAAUAAAAUUUAUAAAACUUUUAUUUUUAUUUAACAUUAAUUUAUGAUUACAUGAUCCAGUUUUAUUGAUUAUAAAUUUAAGUUACCUUAGGGAUAACAGCGUAAUUUUUUUUGAGAGUUCUUAUCGACAAAAAAGAUUGCGACCUCGAUGUUGGAUUAAGAGUAAUUUUGGGUGUAGAAGUUCAAAGUUUAAGUCUGUUCGACUUUUAAAUUCUUACAU